AAGAAGUGGCAUUCUCAGGAGGGAGACCAUUCCCUUGUAGAAAAUACCCCAGAUUUUCCAUCUAGAGCUGUCAUCUUGCUGACUGAGAAGCAGCUGGAGGUAUCCUUCCUGACAUCCUCUCUGACAUGCUCUUAGGGAAAAAGAGACAUGGUGCAUCUCUUUAUUAACUGCUUCAUAAGAGCUACACUGAAGGGGGAAUCUGCUUGGCUAUAUGGAAUGUGGCUCGGCUAUAGUGGAGGAAAAUUCUGUCUCCCUCCUCUCUUCCACUUAAAAUCUGAGGGACAGUCAUGCUCCAGGAAAACGAGAAGCAUGCUCUUAUGGGGAUAGCAGAGCCCACCCUUUUCACUGGGUAUCUCAGAAAGAUGGUAGAAUCUUCUUCCUUGGAGAUCUUCAGAAGCUCUCUGGAUAUGGACCUGGAAACCUGCUGUAGAUAGCCCUGUUUGAGCUCAAGGUUGGAGCUCCAGUGGUUCCUUCCAACCUUAACCAUUCUCAGAAACUUUCUGGGAAAUUAGAUUUGUCCUUCCUGAGAAGCAUAUGGUGCACAGAAGCAAGACAGACAAGAAGGCAAGGCAGAAAAAAGGUGAAGAAAGCCAUUUAAUUUCUCUUGUGUUUACAGAAUAAUGAUUCAUUUAAGGUGGCUACACAACACCCAUGCAGUUCUAAGAUGUGAAUUUGGAUUUCUUGAAAUGUCAUGGCAGAGAUCAGUCUGAUUCUGCUGAAGGUUCUGUUUUCUGCGAAGGCAGAAGUUUUAUCACCCAACUUGCACUUUUGGUUUCCUACCCAAAUUCAUCUCUGCCUAUGUGAUCAAGAAAAUAUUUGACCUCACAAGAUGCUGGACUCUUUACCAACCACUGAAACUGAAACUGAAUUCAGCAGUAGUGUGAACAUUAAUGAAUGGGGAAAAGCUUUUAAUUGUGUCACAGAACCAGACUCAAUGAUUAAAACCAAAUAACUAACUAAUAAUAAAAUCAGAUAACUUUGAGAUCUUCAUUUUUCAUUCCUUCUGCAGCAAUUGUUUUAGCUGAAUUUGGACAUUAAAUGAGUGAUUCAUAUGAAGCAGUAAUUUCUUUUACAGGAGGUGAAGAAUAAUGAGACCAACAGUAGCUGAAGAAAUUGGAACUGGAAUAUGGCAACUGUAAAAUGUGAUGUUUGUAUAAACCUGAUGGGAACAGAUCCUUUAAUCAGAAGUGGAUCAUGAAGAAUUCUGUUGGAAGCAGACACAAGGAAGCUACAUUUAAAACUAUGUUUGAAUGCUCCUGAAAUUUUUUCCCUGGAGCAGAUUUGAAAAAGAAGAGGAGGGAACAGCAAGUGAUUCCAUAUGACUUGUUUUGGAAAUUACUUUUUUUUCCCAAGAUCAUCUCUGCUGAAAUCAAUUUCCCUUAAUGGAGAUGACCCAACUACUGUUCUAUAUUAAGGAGCCAGGUGUUCUGCUUGGUCUGCUUUGAAUAAAUGGCAGAGUGUAUCUAAAAGACAUUUUUUCAUUUCUACUUUGUCAUAUUUGUUUGGCCUGUUCCUGUUUUAAAUUGAUGACUUGGCUAAUCUAGAAUAAAAAGCCCUACGCUAAGCA
This is a long non-coding RNA of Cyanistes caeruleus (blue tit), 1567 nucleotides long. RefSeq lists it as uncharacterized. NCBI's taxonomy places the organism in Eukaryota, Metazoa, Chordata, Aves, Passeriformes, Paridae. The record is from RefSeq and is a predicted model, not a curated record.